UUCUAUAUAAUUAAGUAGUAUAAUACCUUACUUAUAACCGUAAGUAAAGAGUCGUAGGUUCGAAUCCCACUACAGGAG
RNAcentral lists this transfer RNA (78 nucleotides) under Colletotrichum orchidophilum. It matches the Rfam family "tRNA". Rfam says of the family: Transfer RNA (tRNA) molecules are approximately 80 nucleotides in length. Their secondary structure includes four short double-helical elements and three loops (D, anti-codon, and T loops). The record is from Rfam by way of RNAcentral. Lineage: Eukaryota; Fungi; Ascomycota; Sordariomycetes; Glomerellales; Glomerellaceae.